Molecule: long non-coding RNA, 2793 nt
Organism: Thalassophryne amazonica
Lineage: Eukaryota; Metazoa; Chordata; Actinopteri; Batrachoidiformes; Batrachoididae
Exons: 2
Source: RefSeq, a predicted model, not a curated record
UCUUUAGCUGGUGUUUCCUGUUAAAAGUUACUAAAAAUAACAGGAUACUAUGUAAUGGAAAUAUCGGCCUAAAGGCAGCUCAUUUUGGACUUAUGUGACAUAUGUCACAGUAGUCGAUAUCUCUGCUUCUGCUUAUUGUGAGUCAUUCCUGUCUGCCUGAACAGAUGGGAUUUGUAGCAAACAGCAGCUACUUUCUAUGCCAUGUGUUAUCCUUAUUCUGUUAUUUCUAUUCAUUUGGGAAACACGACCGAUAUGGAUUUUUGGGGGCUGAUAGCGAUAUCUAUAAGAGUGAUUAAAAAACAAUCUGAUACUGGUAUAUCUGCUGAUAUAUGCAUGAAAACACUUGAUUUUCAAACCCUUAUGACAAAGAAAUGUAAUUGGCGCUUGAUAGUUGACAGUUUAAACAUGAAUUUUAUUACAAAUAAUCAACCAAAGCAUGUCAUGUUGCGUUGCUCAGCAUUUGCAUAAAAUGCAACAGCAACCCGUUGUCUCUUGUCACUAUAAAAUGCCCACUCUGAUUAAAAAUGAAUGGCAGCAGGUACAUGUGCCAUUUGUAGGGGUCCCAGCCAUGCUUAACAGCAUUGGGAAUGGUACCAUCAAAGCCUCCUAAACUGGUCAAACUAUGCAAUGACACCAUUUCUAACAGCUAAAGUGUUUUUCUACACCGUACAUUUUGUAACAGGGCUAUUCCAUAGGGCGCCGUUCUACUGUGAUUGCCCAUGAUCCAAAAAAGUGCAAAAACAGGAUGAAAUAGCUUAAUCUAGCUUCCUUCCUAACAGGCUUGCUUAUAAAAUGCAGACGUGGCAACCUGCCUGAAAACAAAAGAAAGGAUGGCCGUCACCACUAUGUAUAACAAAUUUGCUCAAGAUUGACAAAGAUGGAUCAAUAAGUUACGAUGAUGCUUCAGAACACGCCCCGAUUUGCUAUUCGGGAUUGAACGGGAAGGAAUGGCGCUCUGUGGAAUAGCCCAAAAUUAAUGCUGACAUAUUUAAGAAGUGCUCUUAACCAGUAUUAUGGGCAAACCGAUAUAUUAAUUAGACUCUGGUGAGAAGAGUCACAUGAACUCUGGUAUAUAGAUUAAACAAGUAAACCAGCGGGAAAGCCGGACAUCUUGUCUGGUCUCUAGUCACUUGGCAAAAGAGGUGAAAUGGAUGAAUGCAACCUGAACCCAUCUAUAAUCUCAGACUUAGGGAACAAGCUAACACUAACAGGUUAACCUUUGGUUCUGUAUUUUAUUAAAGCAUAUUUUUUGUGGACUGUGUUGGGUUUUAUGACAGAGUGUUGGUUUUAAUGUAGAGUGGAGCUAAUGUCAGCUAAAGCGUAAUACCUGCUAAUAUGCUAAUGGUGCUAACAUACCAAAUGAAAUAAGAUUAAAAAUUUCACUCUAUGGAAAUACUGGAGCACAGACUUCUUCAGUAAUCCCUUUGGACAAUUAACUGGACAACAAACUAUAUUAUUGCAGCAGCACUAGCAACUGGCUCCAAAAAUUGACAAUAUUGCUUGCUGUCGAAUAAUACAAGACUGCAAUGUAAAGGUUUUGGAGUCAACGUUGACUAUGGUAAACAUAAGUAAAAUAUAAAGAAAAGUGAGACUGGAUUUGACUGACAAACCACAUGAACCAAAUUAUUUCAAUUUGAUGAUGCUCACGAUGACAAUUGUGCAGCAGUCGUCUCAACCUGCUCUCUGCUGGUCAUUACACAUCACAAUAUCAUCUGCAAACAUCUCAUCCAUAUAGGCUCCUGUCACUAUACCACAAAUUCUGAUUGUUUGAUCAAUUUCUUUUUCUUAUAAUAAAUCAUCACUCUGCCAGACUUCCCAUCAACGUAUGAUGCAAUUUUGAAAAUCCUGAUGACUUUGGGGUUUUCAGUUUCACUGGUCAUAGAACAAAUGAAAACCCAGCAGCAAUGGUGAAAAUCAAUGUGACAUAUCUGAAGAAUGAAAAAACAUAUUUCAGUCAUUACAUUUUCUAAUAAUAUUUGUGGUAUUCUGAAACAGAUAUUUGCUUUUAAAUUAUAAAAAUUGAAGAUUAAUAAUAUCUCUCCGUGUUUAUGUAUGUAACUUGUCAGUGAUUAAACAGUGAAACUCCCUAUAUGGCAAAACUUGAAAUGUAUCAUUUCCAUCCACUAAAUUUAUUGUAUUUUAUAUAGCUAUUAAUAUAGUUUAUUAUGAUGCAUAAAAUGUUUUUGUACCUGUUCUGCUAAAUUAUCGAUGUUAAUUUAUGCCAAAAAUGUGAUAUGCUAUAUAAAUAUUUACACAUAACCAGAGACACAAAAAGGUCUAUUGAGGCAAAAUUAGGUUAAGGAUUAAUAUAUAUAUAUAUAUAUAGAGAGAGAGAGAGAGAGAUAGAUAGAUAGCUAGAUAGAUAGCUAGAUAGAUAGAUAGAUAGAGAGACAGCAGACCCAGUAUCCACUCAAAUUCAUCAGUAUUCUUCAGACAUAUGGAGGGAAAAAAAAAGGAAUUUUGGCUUUAGGUUUAGUGGCCAUGUUGGAAAAAAAAAGGCAGCCAUCUUGGAUUUUUCUUGACUCAACAGAAAAAUUGAAUAGUACCUCAAUGUGAACAUUUGUCUUUGUUUUCACUGUACCACAGCAUGUUAGAGAUGAAAUCAAAUGAUCAAUAUCAGUUCAUAUGAUUUUCAGCUUUAAUUUGAGGGUAAAUAUGUCAAAAAUGAGUGAAAAACAUUGGGUUCACAUUGACCCUUUAUGGCCGAUAUUAGGAUUUGGUGAAAAUAAGUUUAUUUUUGUGCAGUUCUCCUAACAAACCAACAGAAUGACCAUUUUAAUAACAUGGACUGUG